AACACAAAUUCGCAGCUCGGCGAACAGAACCACAACAAUUACCCUUCCUUACUUACUCAGAGGACGGUUUAAAUUCAACAAUAUUUCAGCGGCUCUGGACUCACAUGGAUGUCAGACCAGAUGGGACUGCAAACUCAGAAAUAGAGAAUGAACUUGGCCUGUGUUUUGGGCUCAAUGUGGGUGCUGUGUCAGCAUUGACACCGAAAGCUGUCUCAGGCUGCAGCCACACGAGCAAGGCCUACUUGGUUGACUCCAUACUAACAUGAAUGAACAUGUCUUGUUCAAGAUUUUUCCAAAUCCACCCGCGCUGUGCUAUUUUGAUCAGUGAUGUGCAGCUCCACG
This is a non-coding RNA of Chiloscyllium plagiosum (whitespotted bambooshark), 342 nucleotides long. The record is from RefSeq and is a predicted model, not a curated record. Lineage: Eukaryota; Metazoa; Chordata; Chondrichthyes; Orectolobiformes; Hemiscylliidae.